This 252-nucleotide ribosomal RNA is filed under the name uncultured bacterium. Its description in RNAcentral is "partial 16S ribosomal RNA". It matches the Rfam family "Bacterial small subunit ribosomal RNA", at positions 524 to 776 of the family's 1533-position model. The record is from RNAcentral.
UACGUAGGUCCCGAGCGUUGUCCGGAUUUAUUGGGCGUAAAGCGAGCGCAGGUGGUUUAUUAAGUCUGGUGUAAAAGGCAGUGGCUCAACCAUUGAAUGCAUUGGAAACUGGUAGACUUGAGUGCAGGAGAGGAGAGUGGAAUUCCAUGUGUAGCGGUGAAAUGCGUAGAUAUAUGGAGGAACACCGGUGGCGAAAGCGGCUCUCUGGCCUGUAACUGACACUGAGGCUCGAAAGCGUGGGGAGCAAACAGG